Molecule: long non-coding RNA, 830 nt
Organism: Quercus robur (English oak)
Lineage: Eukaryota; Viridiplantae; Streptophyta; Magnoliopsida; Fagales; Fagaceae
Exons: 2
Source: RefSeq, a predicted model, not a curated record
AAAUGCUCCAACAAACCAUGAAAACAUUUAGGGUUUGAUUCCAACACUACUAGGAUAAAAGGAAAACCCUAAUACACAUUUUUUAAGUUUUGAGAGUUACUCUUAUAAGAUUUGUGAGGUUUUAUACCUUCUAACUCUAUCAAGCACCUACCAAAGAUCAAGACAAUAUUGCAAGUACUGGUGGAUUAAAGUUGUAGCUCAUCCUUCAUCUAUCAAGUGUAUUGAAGAUUAAGGCAUGAACAUGUGCUUCAUGUGAGAACAGAUCCAAAUCAAAGAAAUCUGUGGAGUUCAAAGCUAGAUUGGGUAAUCUUAGUCAAGUUUACUACAAAUGCCUCUCUAACUCGAAAUCCUGAAUCCGUCCUUGGAGAAAACAAAACAAAACUUCAUCGAAACAGCCGAGUUUGGAGAAAUCAUAACUUGAAAAACGUGUAAGACGAUUUGGAAAGAGAAGAAUGCUGCAAGUUUUCACGUGGAUUAAUUCUAUGUGCGGUGCAUGUUGUCUAAAAUAUGUAGCGGUUUAAUUUUAUGUGUUGUGCAUAUUUUCUAAAUACAGCGGUACUAGUUUCACACAGCAGAGCAGAGUAGUGCAAGAAUUGUGCAAACUAGUUUCACACAGCAGAUCAGAGUAGUGCAAGAAUUGUGCAAGAAUUGUGCAGUACGUGGUGUCAAGUAGUGUUAACAAAGCAGCAAAAAUAAUUGGACAGCAGACCCACCAUUAGACCACAUGAUGUGCUGUGUUGGGUGGAAGAAAUUCCACCGUGUAUUUUAAAUAUAGUGGAAAACAAUGUAACUAUAUAUACAUAUUUUAAUGAAAACAGCAUUACAAAGUA